GGUACAGUGAAAAGCUUUUUGUUGCGCGCUAUCCAGUCAGCAAGAAGACAAUAUAUUAUUACAAUCAAGCGAUUUACAGUGCAU
Amblyraja radiata (thorny skate) is the source of this 84-nucleotide long non-coding RNA. RefSeq lists it as uncharacterized. The record is from RefSeq and is a predicted model, not a curated record. Lineage: Eukaryota; Metazoa; Chordata; Chondrichthyes; Rajiformes; Rajidae. The transcript has 3 exons.